AAGCUCGUAGUUGAAUUUCGGGGUUAGUAGGUUGGUCAUGCCUCUGGUAUGUACUGGUCUCACUGAUUCCUCCUUCCUUAUGAACCGUAAUGCCAUUAAUUUGGUGUUGCGGGGAAUUUGGACUGUUACUUUGAAAAAAUUAGAGUGUUUAAAGCAAGCUAACGCUUGAAUACAUUAGCAUGGAAUAAUGAAAUAGGACGUUCGAUCUUAUUUUGUUGGUUUCUUAGGAUUGACGUAAUGAUUAAUAGGAUAGUUGAG
RNAcentral lists this ribosomal RNA (258 nucleotides) under uncultured Glomus. RNAcentral's name for it is "partial 18S ribosomal RNA". It matches the Rfam family "Eukaryotic small subunit ribosomal RNA", at positions 624 to 885 of the family's 1831-position model. Lineage: Eukaryota; Fungi; Glomeromycota; Glomeromycetes; Glomerales; Glomeraceae. The record is from RNAcentral.